Molecule: ribosomal RNA, 430 nt
Filed under: uncultured bacterium
Lineage: Bacteria
Description: bacterial SSU rRNA
Rfam family: Bacterial small subunit ribosomal RNA
Source: RNAcentral
UGAGGAAUAUUGCGCAAUGGACGAAAGUCUGACGCAGCGACGCCGCGUGGAGGAUGAAGGUUUUCGGAUUGUAAACUCCUGUUAAGUGGGAAGAAAUCCUUGUUUCUAAUACAGACGAGGGAUGACGGUACCAUUAGAGAAAGCACCGGCUAACUUCGUGCCAGCAGCCGCGGUAAUACGAGGGGUGCGAGCGUUAUUCGGAAUCAUUGGGCGUAAAGGGUGCGUAGGCGGCAAAUUAAGUCGGCUGUUAAAUUUCCUGGCCUAACCAGGAACAUGCGGUCGAUACUGAUAUGCUAGAGGAUGGAAGAGAGAAGUGGAAUUCUCGGAGUAGCGGUAAAAUGCGUAGAUCUCGAGAGGAACACCGAUGGCGAAGGCAGCUUCUUGGUCCAUAUCUGACGCUGAGUGCACGAAAGCGUGGGGAGCAAACAGG